Molecule: RNA transcript, 1933 nt
Organism: Triplophysa dalaica
Lineage: Eukaryota; Metazoa; Chordata; Actinopteri; Cypriniformes; Nemacheilidae
Exons: 6
Source: RefSeq, a predicted model, not a curated record
ACAUGCGCAGUACACAUCGUGUUUUGUCAUUAGGUCUUGUGCAGACUCCAACACAGUAGGUGGUGAUAAUGCACCAGAGCAACCCGCCAUAAAACCAAGACGAUUUUUAAAGAUUUCUUCACGAUGUAAGCAAGAAUGGCUGCGAUAGCAAGCUUUCAGGUUAAUCAACAGAGCUAUCAGCUUCUACAGUUUAUUCACUCUCAGACACAGCGACUUUUGCAGCAAUAUGAAACACAGCGGAAUCAAAUGGAUAUGGAUUUUCUCUAUACUCGUUUCGAAAAUCUCCUUUCUAUUCUUGAAAGAUGUAGCCAAAAUGGUGUUUUAACAGAAAUUGAUGACAUACUACACAGCAUGCAAAGAGUAUUGUACUUGUUGCAAGCCCAAACUCAUGCAACUCAUGGAUUUAGGCCUGCCAGGAUCAGAACUGGAGACAGAGGAUGCCCAUACUGGGACAUUUCCCCUGAGCAGUUGGAAUACCUUUUGGAAUUUAAUUUCACAGUAAAGCAAAUCGCACAAAUGUUUUGUGUAAGUUAUAGAACAAUAAGAAGAAGAAUGUCUGAGUAUGGCUUGUCAGUAAAAAUGUAUUACAGUGACAUUACAGAUGAGGACCUCAGACAACUUGUUUGUCAUUUCAUCAGAGAAUGUCCUGACUCCGGAAUAAAGCGAGUCAGUGGAUACCUCAACAGUGUUGGACUGAGAGUUCAGCGGUCCCGAGUAAUGGAAACGCUAAGAACAGUAGAUCCAGUGGGUACAAUAUGUCGUGGACUUGGAAUAAACAUUAUACAGAGAAGAGUCUACUCUGUUCCAGCUCCCAUGGCAUUAUGGCAUAUUGACGGAAACCAUAAGUUGAUACGAUGGAGAAUUGUGAUCCAUGGGGGGAUAGAUGGGUACAGUAGAAAAGUCAUGUUCCUGCAUGCAAGUGACAACAACAGAGCCUCGACUGUUCUGUCUUUAUUUGUUGCUGCUGUGCAGCUCUUUGGGGUACCUAAAAGAGUUCGUAGCGAUAAGGGUGGAGAGAAUGUUGAGGUGGCACGCUUUAUGCUUGAGCAUCCAGAUAGAGGAACAGGAAGUUUUAUUACCUGACGCAGCGUACACAAUCAACGAAUUGAAAGACUUUGGAGAGAUGUUUGGUGUGCAGUGACAGUUAACUAUCAUUCUGCACUCCAACAUCUCUCCAGUGCCGGUGCUCUGAAUCCUGACAGUGAACUUGAUAUGAUUUGUCUUCAUUAUGUGAUGCUUCCAAGAAUCAACAUGCAUAUCCAGCUCUUCAAGCAAGCAUGGGAUCGGCAUGCGAUUUCCACAGAGCAUGGGAGGUCACCACAGCAGCUUUGGAUUGAAGGACAGUUACAGAACAUGGAUCAAAUUUGUAACCCACUUUCUGAGCAGACAUAUUUGGAGGAGCACAGCAUUGACUGGGAGGGACCAACACCAGUGGACAGUGAUGACAUUAUUGAAGUUCCCCCACCACCUGAAAAUCUGCACAGUGCUGUUUUUCAGUUUCUUCAAGAAAGAGUUGAUCCACUUGGCGCUAGCACUUGCUUUGGAAUUGACAUUUUAUUAGAGACAUUACGGAUGUCAAGGGAGCAGUUUGAUCAUUUUUAACAUGCAUUUAAGGGAAGGUUACCAUAGCCUAGUCUGAACAGACACAAUAAUUGCAGCAGUAUGUAUUGUGAAAAUCUGUAAAUAAGUUGAUUAUUAGACUACUCAAUACUUUUCUAUAUGAUGUUAAAAAUAAUUUCCUUAAGUAGAUUUUAAAUAUACCAUCUUUAAUUUCCUCUGUAAUUUGCUCUGGUAAUAGUUUUUUUUAAGUACAAAAACGUAACACAAAGGCUUUACUAACACUGAUUUAAAAACAAAUGGAUUUAUUGAUUAUUAUCAAUAAAACAAUAUUUUGAAAGUGUUUGAAAUUUUAAAUCAAUAUUGUAAACUUUAA